Molecule: non-coding RNA, 74 nt
Organism: Apodemus sylvaticus (European woodmouse)
Lineage: Eukaryota; Metazoa; Chordata; Mammalia; Rodentia; Muridae
Source: the annotation of a RefSeq genome assembly
GGCUGUGCUGUAGCUCAGUUGGUAGAGCACUUGCUUAGCAUGCACAAGGUCCUGGGUUCGAUCCCCAGCAGCCU